CCUACGGGAGGCAGCAGUGGGGAAUAUUGGACAAUGGGGGGAACCCUGAUCCAGCCAUGCCGCGUGUGUGAAGAAGGCCCUCGGGUUGUAAAGCACUUUCAGUGAGGAAGAACGCCUGGUGGUUAAUACCCAUCAGGAAAGACAUCACUCACAGAAGAAGCACCGGCUAACUCCGUGCCAGCAGCCGCGGUAAUACGGAGGGUGCGAGCGUUAAUCGGAAUUACUGGGCGUAAAGCGCGCGUAGGUGGCUUGAUAAGCCGGUUGUGAAAGCCCCGGGCUCAACCUGGGAACGGCAUCCGGAACUGUCAAGCUUGAGUGCAGGAGAGGAAGGUAGAAUUCCCGGUGUAGCGGUGAAAUGCGUAGAGAUCGGGAGGAAUACCAGUGGCGAAGGCGGCCCUCUGGACUGACACUGACGCUGAGGUGCGAAAGCGUGGGGAGCAAACAGGAUUAGAUACCCGAGUAGUC
RNAcentral lists this ribosomal RNA (465 nucleotides) under Vreelandella stevensii. Its description in RNAcentral is "partial 16S ribosomal RNA". It matches the Rfam family "Bacterial small subunit ribosomal RNA", at positions 338 to 795 of the family's 1533-position model. Lineage: Bacteria; Pseudomonadati; Pseudomonadota; Gammaproteobacteria; Oceanospirillales; Halomonadaceae. The record is from RNAcentral.